UGCCAGCCGCCGCGGUAAUACGGAGGGUGCAAGCGUUGUCCGGAUUUAUUGGGUUUAAAGGGUGCGCAGGCGGCCUGUUAAGUCAGGGGUUAAAGACAACGGCUCAACCGUUGCAGGGCCUUUGAUACUGGCAGGCUUGAGUCCAUCUGAGGGAGUUGGAAUGCGUGGUGUAGCGGUGAAAUGCAUAGAGAUCACGCAGAACGCCGAUUGCGAAGGCAGAUUUCUAAGAUGGUACUGACGCUGAGGCACGAAAGCGUGGGGAGCGAACAGGAUUAGAUA
Molecule: ribosomal RNA, 279 nt
Filed under: uncultured bacterium
Lineage: Bacteria
Description: partial 16S ribosomal RNA
Rfam family: Bacterial small subunit ribosomal RNA
Source: RNAcentral